GAGUUUGAUCAUGGCUCAGAACGAACGCUGGCGGCAGGCUUAACACAUGCAAGUCGAGCGCCCCGCAAGGGGAGCGGCAGACGGGUGAGUAACACGUGGGAACCUACCUGAAGGUACGGAACAACUCCGGGAAACUGGAGCUAAUACCGUAUGUGCCCGAAAGGGGAAAGAUUCAUCGCCUUCAGAUGGGCCCGCGUCAGAUUAGCUAGUUGGUGAGGUAACGGCUCACCAAGGCGACGAUCUGUAGCUGGUCUGAGAGGAUGAUCAGCCACACUGGGACUGAGACACGGCCCAGACUCCUACGGGAGGCAGCAGUGGGGAAUAUUGCGCAAUGGGGGAAACCCUGACGCAGCGACGCCGCGUGGGUGAUGAAGGCC
RNAcentral lists this ribosomal RNA (377 nucleotides) under uncultured Alphaproteobacteria bacterium. Its description in RNAcentral is "bacterial SSU rRNA". It matches the Rfam family "Bacterial small subunit ribosomal RNA", at positions 9 to 416 of the family's 1533-position model. Lineage: Bacteria; Pseudomonadati; Pseudomonadota; Alphaproteobacteria. The record is from RNAcentral.